AGAAGUGGAGCAUCCAUGAGUAAAGUGGCGUACGGGUGAGUAACACGUGGAUCAUCUACCUCUUGGUGGGGAAUAACCCUGGGAAACCGGGGCUAAUACCGCAUAAGCCUGUGAAGGGAAAGCAGCAAUGCGCCGAGAGAGGAGUCCGCGGCCGAUUAGCUAGUUGGUAGGGUAAUGGCCUACCAAGGCAAUGAUCGGUAGCCGGCCUGAGAGGGCACACGGCCACACUGGCACUGAAACACGGGCCAGACUCCUACGGGAGGCAGCAGUGGGGAAUCUUGCACAAUGGAGGAAACUCUGAUGCAGCGACGCCGCGUGAGCGAUGAAGCCCUUCGGGGUGUAAAGCUCUUUCGACGGGAACGAUAAUGACGGUACCCGGAGAAGAAGCUGCGGCUAACUACGUGCCAGCAGCCGCGGUAAUACGUAGGCAGCAAGCGUUGUUCGGAAUUACUGGGCGUAAAGAGUGUGUAGGCGGUUCUCUAUGUUCGGUGUGAAAUCUCCCGGCUUAACUGGGAGGGUGCGCCGAAAACUGGAGGGCUUGAGUAUGGGAGAGGAAAGCGGAAUUCCUGGUGUAGCGGUGAAAUGCGUAGAUAUCAGGAGGAACACCUGCGGUGUAGACGGCUUUCUGGACCAUCACUGACGCUGAGACACGAAAGCGUGGGUAGCAAACAGGAUUAGAUACCCUGGUAGUCCACGCCCUAAACGAUGCA
This 710-nucleotide ribosomal RNA is filed under the name uncultured bacterium. RNAcentral describes it as "bacterial SSU rRNA". It matches the Rfam family "Bacterial small subunit ribosomal RNA", at positions 70 to 813 of the family's 1533-position model. The record is from RNAcentral.